RNAcentral lists this ribosomal RNA (496 nucleotides) under uncultured bacterium. Its description in RNAcentral is "partial 16S ribosomal RNA". It matches the Rfam family "Bacterial small subunit ribosomal RNA", at positions 28 to 507 of the family's 1533-position model. The record is from RNAcentral.
GACGAACGCUGGCGGCGUGCCUAAUACAUGCAAGUUGAGCGCUGAAGGGUGGUACUUGUUCCAACUGGAUGAGCAGCGGACGGGUGAGUAACGCGUGGGGAACCUGCCUUUGAGCGGGGGACAACAUUGGGAAACGAAUGCUAAUACCGCAUAAAAUCUUUAAACACAAGUUUAAAGUUUGAAAGAUGCAAUUGCAUCACUCAAAGAUGAUCCCGCGUUGCUUUAGCUAGUUGGUGAGGUAAAGGCUUACCAAGGCGAUGAUACAUAGCCGACCUGAGAGGUUGAUCGGCCCCACUGGACCUGGGCCACGGCCCAACCUCCUCCGGGGGGCAGCGUAGGGGAAUCUUCGGCAAUGGGCGAAGGCCUGACGGAGCACGGCCGCUGGGUGGAGGAAGGUCUUCGGUCCGUAAACCCCGUUUAUUGGGGAGGACGUUAGUGGGAGUUGACUGUGCACAACGUGACGGUACCUACUCAGAAAGCCACGGCUAACUACGUG